UUUGGAGGUUGUGCCCUUGAGGCGUGGCUUCCGGAGCUAACGCGUUAAAUCGACCGCCUGGGGAGUACGGCCGCAAGGUUAAAACUCAAAUGAAUUGACGGGGGCCCGCACAAGCGGUGGAGCAUGUGGUUUAAUUCGAUGCAACGCGAAGAACCUUACCUACUCUUGACAUCCAGAGAAUUCGCUAGAGAUAGCUUAGUGCCUUCGGGAACUCUGAGACAGGUGCUGCAUGGCUGUCGUCAGCUCGUGUUGUGAAAUGUUGGGUUAAGUCCCGCAACGAGCGCAACCCUUAUCCUUUGUUGCCAGCGAUUCGGUCGGGAACUCAAAGGAGACUGCCGGUGAUAAACCGGAGGAAGGUGGGGAUGACGUCAAGUCAUCAUGGCCCUUACGAGUAGGGCUACACACGUGCUACAAUGGCGUAUACAAAGAGAAGCGAACUCGCGAGAGCAAGCGGACCUCAUAAAGUACGUCGUAGUCCGGAUUGGAGUCUGCAACUCGACUCCAUGAAGUCGGAAUCGCUAGUAAUCGUAGAUCAGAAUGCUACGGUGAAUACGUUCCCGGGCCUUGCACUCAACGCCCGUC
RNAcentral lists this ribosomal RNA (582 nucleotides) under Enterobacterales bacterium. RNAcentral's name for it is "bacterial SSU rRNA". It matches the Rfam family "Bacterial small subunit ribosomal RNA", at positions 816 to 1398 of the family's 1533-position model. Lineage: Bacteria; Pseudomonadati; Pseudomonadota; Gammaproteobacteria; Enterobacterales. The record is from RNAcentral.